Molecule: small RNA, 466 nt
Filed under: Histoplasma ohiense
Lineage: Eukaryota; Fungi; Ascomycota; Eurotiomycetes; Onygenales; Ajellomycetaceae
Description: hypothetical lncRNA
Source: RNAcentral
CCCAUAACGCCGCGUUUUCCUGAAUGGCAGGGUUUACAUUAACCGUCUCAAUUGCGUUUACGGGGAAUUUUAUAUCAAUUUGACUGAAGCUAUUGACUCCCUGUCCUUUCUAGUUUUGCUCCAGUUUACCCGAAAACGCUUCAUUCAGCUCAUACAGGCCUUGAUGCGCUCGCUGACGCCUCUUCUCCCCAUGUUCGCAUCAUACCAAGACUUCUCAUUGUGCUUUCCCCAACAAUAAUAGAACCAAAUUAACGUCAAUCCCCUCGCGCCAAAUGCAACUAGCACUUGGUGGCGUCUGACACCUCUUGACCUUCUGCACGUAUCACCAGGGUACAUCAUCCUACGUUCUAGAGUCAGCACACCAAGUGCAUGGAUUUCCAGGGAAGCUCCUGUUCCAGAAAAGUUUGUUUCCCAGGAUAUUGGAUAAUACCGCUCCGUGCAGCAGAAUGGACGGAGCCCAGGAAGA